CCUACGGGGGGCAGCAGUGGGGAAUAUUGGACAAUGGGGGCAACCCUGAUCCAGCCACGCCGCGUGUGUGAAGAAGGCCCUCGGGUUGUAAAGCACUUUCAGUGAGGAAGAACGCCUGGUGGUUAAUACCCAUCAGGAAAGACAUCACUCACAGAAGAAGCACCGGCUAACUCCGUGCCAGCAGCCGCGGUAAUACGGAGGGUGCGAGCGUUAAUCGGAAUUACUGGGCGUAAAGCGCGCGUAGGUGGCUUGAUAAGCCGGUUGUGAAAGCCCCGGGCUCAACCUGGGAACGGCAUCCGGAACUGUCAAGCUAGAGUGCAGGAGAGGAAGGUAGAAUUCCCGGUGUAGCGGUGAAAUGCGUAGAGAUCGGGAGGAAUACCAGUGGCGAAGGCGGCCUUCUGGACUGACACUGACACUGAGGUGCGAAAGCGUGGGUAGCAAACAGGAUUAGAUACCCUGGUAGUC
This 465-nucleotide ribosomal RNA is filed under the name Vreelandella stevensii. Its description in RNAcentral is "partial 16S ribosomal RNA". It matches the Rfam family "Bacterial small subunit ribosomal RNA", at positions 338 to 795 of the family's 1533-position model. The record is from RNAcentral. Lineage: Bacteria; Pseudomonadati; Pseudomonadota; Gammaproteobacteria; Oceanospirillales; Halomonadaceae.